Molecule: non-coding RNA, 29 nt
Filed under: Mus musculus (house mouse)
Lineage: Eukaryota; Metazoa; Chordata; Mammalia; Rodentia; Muridae
Source: RNAcentral
UCUCACGGCUGUCAGCUUUGUCCCUGACU